This 252-nucleotide ribosomal RNA is filed under the name uncultured bacterium. Its description in RNAcentral is "partial 16S ribosomal RNA". It matches the Rfam family "Bacterial small subunit ribosomal RNA", at positions 524 to 776 of the family's 1533-position model. The record is from RNAcentral.
UACGGAGGAUGCGAGCGUUAUCCGGAUUUAUUGGGUUUAAAGGGUGCGUAGGCGGACUGUCAAGUCAGCGGUAAAAUACGGGGGCUCAACCUCCGCCCGCCGUUGAAACUGACGGUCUUGAGUGGGCGAGAAGUAUGCGGAAUGCGUGGUGUAGCGGUGAAAUGCAUAGAUAUCACGCAGAACUCCGAUUGCGAAGGCAGCAUACCGGCGCCCAACUGACGCUGAAGCACGAAAGCGCGGGUAUCGAACAGG